RNAcentral lists this ribosomal RNA (2917 nucleotides) under Drosophila persimilis. RNAcentral describes it as "eukaryotic LSU rRNA". It matches the Rfam family "Eukaryotic large subunit ribosomal RNA", at positions 652 to 3185 of the family's 3401-position model. The record is from RNAcentral. Lineage: Eukaryota; Metazoa; Arthropoda; Insecta; Diptera; Drosophilidae.
UCUUGAAACACGGACCAAGGAGUCUAACAUAUGUGCAAGUUAUUGGGAGAUAAACCUAAUAGCGUAAUUAACUUGACUAAUAAUGGGAUUAGUUUUUUAACUAUUAUAGAUAAUUAACACAAUCCCGGGGCGUUCUAUAUAGUUAUGUAUAAUAAUAUUUAUAUUAUUUAUGCCUCUAACUGGAACGUACCUUGAGCAUAUAUGCUGUGACCCGAAAGAUGGUGAACUAUACUUGAUCAGGUUGAAGUCAGGGGAAACCCUGAUGGAAGACCGAAACAGUUCUGACGUGCAAAUCGAUUGUCAGAAUUGAGUAUAGGGGCGAAAGACCAAUCGAACCAUCUAGUAGCUGGUUCCUUCCGAAGUUUCCCUCAGGAUAGCUGGUGCAUUUUAAUGUUAUAUAAAAUAAUCUAUCUGGUAAAGCGAAUGAUUAGAGGCCUUAGGGUCGAAACGAUCUUAACCUAUUCUCAAACUUUAAAUGGGUAAGAACCUUAACUUUCUUGAUAUGAAGUUUAAGGUUAUGAUAUAAUGUGCCCAGUGGGCCACUUUUGGUAAGCAGAACUGGCGCUGUGGGAUGAACCAAACGUAAUGUUACGGUGCCCAAAUUAACAACUCAUGCAGAAACCAUGAAAGGCGUUGGUUGCUUAAAACAGCAGGACGGUGAUCAUGGAAGUCGAAAUCCGCUAAGGAGUGUGUAACAACUCACCUGCCGAAGCAACUAGCCCUUAAAAUGGAUGGCGCUUAAGUUGUAUACCUAUACAUUACCGCUAAAGUAGAUGAUUUAUAUUACUUGUGAUAUAAAUUUUGAAACUUUAGUGAGUAGGAAGGUACAAUGGUAUGCGUAGAAGUGUUUGGCGUAAGCCUUCAUGGAGCUGCCAUUGGCACAGAUCUUGGUGGUAGUAGCAAAUAAUCGAAUGAGACCUUGGAGGACUGAAGUGGAGAAGGGUUUCGUGUGAACAGUGGUUGAUCACGAGUUAGUCGGUCCUAAGUUCAAGGCGAAAGCCGAAAAUUUUCAAGUAAAAAAUCAGUGAGUAAUAUUGUCAAAUCUUUUAUGAUUUUUAAAUACUUGAAUAAUUUUGAACGAAAGGGAAUACGGUUCCAAUUCCGUAACCUGUUGAGUAUCCGUUUGUUAUUAAAUAUGGGCCUCGUGCUCAUCCUGGCAACAGGAACGACCAUAAAGAAGCCGUCGAGAGAUAUCGGAAGAGUUUUCUUUUCUGUUUUAUAGCCGUACUACCAUGGAAGUCUUUCGCAGAGAGAUAUGGUAGAUGGGCUAGAAGAGCAUGACAUAUACUGUUGUGUCGAUAUUUUCUCCUCGGACCUUGAAAAUUUAUGGUGGGGACACGCAAACUUCUCAACAGGCCGUACCAAUAUCCGCAGCUGGUCUCCAAGGUGAAGAGUCUCUAGUCGAUAGAAUAAUGUAGGUAAGGGAAGUCGGCAAAUUAGAUCCGUAACUUCGGGAUAAGGAUUGGCUCUGAAGAUUGAGAUAGUCGGGCUUGAUUGGGAAACAAUAACAUGGUUUAUGUGCUCGUUCUGGGUAAAUAGAGUUUCUAUCAUUUAUGGUAGUUACUUGUUCCCCGGAUAGUUUAGUUACGUAGCCAAUUGUGGAACUUUCUUGCUAAAAUUUUUAAGAAUACUAAUUGGGUUAAACCAGUUAGUUCUUAUUAAUUAUAACGAUUAUCAAUUAACAAUCAAUUCAGAACUGGCACGGACUUGGGGAAUCCGACUGUCUAAUUAAAACAAAGCAUUGUGAUGGCCCUAGCGGGUGUUGACACAAUGUGAUUUCUGCCCAGUGCUCUGAAUGUCAAAGUGAAGAAAUUCAAGUAAGCGCGGGUCAACGGCGGGAGUAACUAUGACUCUCUUAAGGUAGCCAAAUGCCUCGUCAUCUAAUUAGUGACGCGCAUGAAUGGAUUAACGAGAUUCCUACUGUCCCUAUCUACUAUCUAGCGAAACCACAGCCAAGGGAACGGGCUUGGAAUAAUUAGCGGGGAAAGAAGACCCUUUUGAGCUUGACUCUAAUCUGGCAGUGUAAGGAGACAUAAGAGGUGUAGCAUAAGUGGGAGAUAUUAGAUUUCGGUUUGGUAUCGACAAUGAAAUACCACUACUCUUAUUGUUUCCUUACUUACUUGAUUAAAUGGAACGUGUAUCAUUUCCUAGCCAUUAUACGGAUAUAUUUAUUAUAUCUUAUGGUAUUGGGUUUUGAUGCAAGCUUCUUGAUCAAAGUAUCACGAGUUUGUUAUAUAAUCGCAAACAAAUUCUUUAAUGAGAAAAUGCAUUUAUGUAUUUUCAAUUUGAAAAUUUGGUAUAACUCCAAUUACUCAGGUAUGAUCCAAUUCAAGGACAUUGCCAGGUAGGGAGUUUGACUGGGGCGGUACAUCUCUCAAAUAAUAACGGAGGUGUCCCAAGGCCAGCUCAGUGCGGACAGAAACCACACAUAGAGCAAAAGGGCAAAUGCUGACUUGAUCUCGGUGUUCAGUACACACAGGGACAGCAAAAGCUCGGCCUAUCGAUCCUUUUGGUUUAAAGAGUUUUUAACAAGAGGUGUCAGAAAAGUUACCAUAGGGAUAACUGGCUUGUGGCGGCCAAGCGUUCAUAGCGACGUCGCUUUUUGAUCCUUCGAUGUCGGCUCUUCCUAUCAUUGUGAAGCAAAAUUCACCAAGCGUUGGAUUGUUCACCCAUGCAAGGGAACGUGAGCUGGGUUUAGACCGUCGUGAGACAGGUUAGUUUUACCCUACUAAUGACAAAACGUUGUUGCGACAGCAUUCCUGCGUAGUACGAGAGGAACCGCAGGUACGGACCAAUGGCACAAUACUUGUUCGAGCGAACAGUGGUAUGACGCUACGUCCGUUGGAUUAUGCCUGAACGCCUCUAAGGUCGUAUCCGUGCUGGACUGCAAUGAUAAAUAAGGGGCAAUUUGCAUUGU